AUCCCUCAAUAUUCUCAUUCUACUCCUGACUGUUCCCUCGUUAGGUGGGCAUUUCUAAUUAUGCUUGUCCGCAAUAGUUGGUGGGGAUGUUGUAACGUGAGGACAUCCACCAUCCAUCACCUUAAAGAUAAAUGGAGAGGAUUUUGUGGUGUGUGUUCAAGAGGCACUGCUGUUGGGUGUGUUGCUGCCAAAACACGUGAUCUCAGCUGUCCCCAGCAGCUGUCUCAGAAGAUUGGUCCUGAUGCAGCCACAGCUGCUGUUCACAGAGCCAGGAGCUCUUUGCAGUUUAGUGUAUUCUGCUGAGAUUUAUGGCUCCGACCCUCCUCUGUUCUGCCAUUCCUGGUAGUAUCUGCUCAGUUGCCUGGUUUGCUCCAGUGUUUCCUGGGACCCUGUUGUGUAACUGCAUUUCAGAGGGUCUUAAGGGAUUCUACCCUCACUACACCAGUCACUCUACACUGGCCAUGCACUUAGCUUCUUGGGGCCCUGCAUAUGUCCUCUUCAUUGGAGCUGUGAAGAGUUCUAGUUAGGGAUAGAUCUCAUUCUUACUUGCCUCAGGCUGCUUAGAAAGCUGAUCAUCUUGUCUUUGGACACAUGGAUAUUGUUCCUUUUGUGUAUUUUGAAGUCCGAUGCUGUUUUUUUUUUUUUUUUUUUAAACAACGUGGACGCUUGCAUUAAUAGUCACUUUUAAAUAUCUUUGUGAAUUUAACUCUGGCAACAACUUGAUGAAGUUGACAUGCGAUCCCCAUUUUAUAGGUGAUGGAACUGACACUCGGAGAGGUAGAGUAGCUUUAUUUACUUCACACAAGCUGUGGAUGAAUUUCAAAUCUCAACCUAGAAGUCUUCCUCUAAGAUUCGUUCUGUGCACUAACAUGCAAUACAAAUACUGAUGAAAAUAAAACUAUUGCCCUCCUACCAAAUGGUAAUAGCGCUUACAUUUUUCCUCUUUUUCUAAUUAUAAAAGAAAUGCAUGCUGUUUUAAGAAUGUUAGGUCAUAGAGAUCUUUAUGUAGUGAAAAUCUCCCAUGUCUUCCUCUUUGUUCCAAACUCACUCCCUUCUUAGAAGGAAUUAUUAUUGCUUGGGGUUUAUUUUUCUGGAUGUUUUCUAUAAAUUUA
Cercocebus atys (sooty mangabey) is the source of this 1112-nucleotide long non-coding RNA. RefSeq lists it as uncharacterized. Lineage: Eukaryota; Metazoa; Chordata; Mammalia; Primates; Cercopithecidae. The record is from RefSeq and is a predicted model, not a curated record. The transcript has 2 exons.